AGAAGAGGACAGUCCGCAAGGGGCGGAAGACAAGACAAAAAUGACUCCAGUUCGCUAGACGCGCAGAGGGGCGGAUAGCGCGCGGACCCCGCCUUCCCCAACCGAGUGUGGGUUCCAGUCGCUGGGGAGGACCUGGUGGCCCCCUGACCUUGGACGAGCCAUAUUGGACGCCCCGGCGCCGUCCCGUCUUCCACGCUGCCAACUCCACCGCUCCCGCCCCGAACUGCGGCCUAGGAGCCACCGCAGCGCACCCAGCCCGCGAGUACAGCCGCAUGGGAAUAAUCCCAACAUUUGCCUGAUUUAUUUUCUUCCCUCUCCUUACGCUUGUACUUGUUUUUCUCCUCUCGCUGUUUUCCCUUCACACUAAUUCGCAACCUGGCAGUUUGCAAAGAGGAAACUCCCUUUCGGAAUGGAAAGCCGCUUUUGCUUCUUGUUGUUGGGGGUGGAAAACAUUCCAGCGAGAAUGAGUUCAAAAAGAAGGGAAACCGCGUCACUGGAGAGAAAGUAACAUUAAGAGAUCGAUGAGGACGGAGUGGGUAGGGGGGACAGAGAGAGGAACGUCUGCAACAGGCAUCUAAAAACAAGCGUGGAGGAGCAAAGAUUCCCAAUCCCCGGGUUACUACCGCGCGCGUUCUGCGCGAGCCAUUGCAAUGCCAGCAUUUACUGUAAGCAGAAUUUGAAGGCUUUUGAAAUCUUUUUUUGGUAAGACUUACCUUUCUCUUCGGCAUAAUGACUAUGUCGGUGAAGCAAAAAGUAAAGCAACGGACUGGAACUGCUGGCGCCGCCGCUGGAUGCUGCCUCUGCCUCUGCAGCUGCUCACGCGCAGGGCACGACGUAGCCCGGCCUCUUCGACCUGCACCUCCGCGGCUCCCUCUGGGGGCCCUCUGCUCGCCUCCCUGCUGCUCCAAUGAGGAGCCCCGCCAGCCGGCCGCGAGGCCCCAUUGGCUGAGGCAACGUUCUAAAUUCCACGAGGGCACGCCCACCUCCGCGCGCGGUACGCGCUGUUGUAGUUUCCACUUCACCGAAAAAAAUCUGCCUGGCGACUGAGCAUGCCCAGUUCAACUAGUAGCCUCCAGGCCACACAAUCCUGAAGUUUCAUUGUUUCGCUGCUCUCUCUUUGAGAUUGUAAGAAUAAGAACAGUGUGUGUCUUCAUAGGAAGGAAAAAGAGUAAGAAUGAAUACGUAAACUUUAUAAUGUAAAUAUAUACACAGCAGGUACCUUAUUCAUUUCCUACCCAUAAAGGCUUUUAAUGAAUGUUACAUGGUGGGAAUCUGUAAAGCGUGGGAAGGUACUCUGUACUGGAAGAGCGUGGCAACUUCUAAAGGCCUCAGUUUCCCCCCCUAGAUAUAUAGUGACAACAGUCCCUAAAAUCACUUAGCUCUAAUUUUCUGAAAUCUGUGAUUAUAAAUCACUCACUAAUUCAGCUAACUUCAAACUAGAUGUGAAGACGAAUAGGACAUGUUUGUUACGGAAAUUAGGAAAAGAAAGAACAAGGCAAAAACUGAUUAUUUUAUAUUUGAGACAUAUAUUUGAAUGACACCCGUCAUGUUACACUUUAUGCGUAAUAUUUCUCAAAGUUCUGCAAGGCAUAAAAUGAGCAUUGCAAAAAUAUUUCUGAAUUCAUUUUAUGAGACCAGAUUUACUCUGAUACCAAAACCAGUGAAAGACUUCAAAAGAGAGUUACAGACCAAUAUCACUCAUAAACAUAGACACAAAAGUCGUGAACAAAAUUUUAGUAAAUGAAACUCAACAACAUUUAAAGGGACAAUACAUCAUGACCUGUGGGGCUUAUCUUGGGAAUGCAAAGCUGCUUUUUUAAUAUCUGAGAAUCAAUCAAUGUAAUUGGCAGGAUUAAUAGAAUAAAGGGGGAAAAACAAUCCUUUCAGCAGAUGCAGGAAAAGCGCUAGUGAAUGGGUAAGCAAAUUGUGAUGAGCACAUGCAGUGGAAUACUAUUCAGCAAUAAAAAACAAUAAAAAAUUUUCCUACAUGGAUGAAUAUCAAAAACAAAGUGCUGUACGAAAGAAGUCAAAUACAAAAGACCACACUGAAUGAUUGCAUUCAUAUGAAAUUAUAGAAAAAGCAAAAUUGGGCAAAGUUAGUUUCAGAAUCAUCUUAGCAGGCAAAGCUCACAUCAUAGGAAAAUGUGUUGAAGCCUUACAUUACAAAUAUGGCCAAAUCCACUUUGGUAACACAGAGGCUGCAAAUAUGUAUUAAAAAUAUCAUGUAUUAAAUAUGUAUUAAAAAAGCAAUGAAGUUUAAUAUUUCACUUUUUCUUUAGUAAUUUUCAGAAUACAUUAAUUGAUCUAGUACUCUCCAGAGGUGGUUGAUUACUUUCUUUUUUGGAACAUCUUUAUGAACUCAUGGAUUUUUACAUAUUUGGUGUGCAUCAGUGUAUUGCUAUCAUUAUUAUUACCUUUUUAAUGCUCCUAUUACCACAUCUUUAGCCAAUGCAUACCCUUUCAAAUUAGUGCUUGUGUCCUUUUGACAUGAUCUUAAUCAUUUUUGAUAGAUUCCCUGUUCUUGGGCAUUCAGUGAAUGACAAUAGUAUACUGAAACGAAUUAAGAUAAAAACCAAUUGCUUAGAGCUAGAUAAAAAUUUACAAGUUAAUAAUUUUAUCAUUAAAAUAAUAUUUAUAAUGAAGAUGUCUUUCAAGAUAUUAAUUUGCCAAAUACUUGAUAGUUAAAUAAAGAAAAAGUCAGUGAAAACAUUUUUAGUAAGAUAUGUGUGAGAAGGAUACUGAGUAGCACUUGCAAUCUGGACUGGAUGGCUAUUUUUCUUCAUGGAGAUGGAAAGGUGCCACAACAAAGGUAGUGCUAAGGUGAAUAUUUCUCCUCUGUGAUGAAAAAUAACUCACAAAAUUGGCUUCUUUGUUAAUUUUUUUUCAAAACCAAACACUCAGAUCAUCAACAGCAAACAAAAUUGUGAAUGUUUUUACUGCACACAAUAAAAAUGCUACGAUGAAA
This 2965-nucleotide long non-coding RNA is filed under the name Homo sapiens (human). RNAcentral describes it as "HMGN3 antisense RNA 1". Lineage: Eukaryota; Metazoa; Chordata; Mammalia; Primates; Hominidae. The record is from RNAcentral.